Molecule: ribosomal RNA, 429 nt
Filed under: Gemmatimonadota bacterium
Lineage: Bacteria; Pseudomonadati; Gemmatimonadota
Description: Gemmatimonadetes bacterium partial 16S ribosomal RNA
Rfam family: Bacterial small subunit ribosomal RNA
Source: RNAcentral
UAGGGAAUCUUCGGCAAUGGACGAAAGUCUGACCGAGCAACGCCGCGUGAGUGAAGAAGGUUUUCGGAUCGUAAAACUCUGUUGUUAGAGAAGAACAAGGACGUUAGUAACUGAACGUCCCCUGACGGUAUCUAACCAGAAAGCCACGGCUAACUACGUGCCAGCAGCCGCGGUAAUACGUAGGUGGCAAGCGGUGUCCGGAUUUAUUGGGCGUAAAGCGAGCGCAGGCGGUUUCUUAAGUCUGAUGUGAAAGCCCCCGGCUCAACCGGGGAGGGUCAUUGGAAACUGGGAGACUUGAGUGCAGAAGAGGAGAGUGGAAUUCCAUGUGUAGCGGUGAAAUGCGUAGAUAUAUGGGGGAACACCAGUGGCGAAGGCGGCUCUCUGGUCUGUAACUGACGCUGAGGCUCGAAAGCGUGGGGAGCAAACAGG